This is an RNA transcript of Cervus elaphus (red deer), 5002 nucleotides long. It is a transcript of the gene named nitric oxide-associated protein 1-like, with no coding region annotated. The transcript is spliced from 4 exons. Lineage: Eukaryota; Metazoa; Chordata; Mammalia; Artiodactyla; Cervidae. The record is from RefSeq and is a predicted model, not a curated record.
AUGGUAGGCGGACGCUUCAAGCGGUUUACAGACAGGGAUGAUCGCUCCUACACGCUCGGCCUCGGAUAUAGAGCCUUCAUCCAGAGAACUCACGCCAUUAGACGCGGGAGAAGUAGCUUCAGGGCGACAAUCCUCAGGUCCUCCGGGCCUGUCCCCCUCUGCGGCUUCCUGCGGGGACCCACUCCCACUGGAGCGCGCCACGGCGUCCGGGAGACGCUCCUCCAGGAGACGCGCAGCCGACUCCUCCUCCCGGCCCCCAGCGGGCCUGGGACGUGGCCUUCCUCGUGGCGCGACGGCGACUGGGGGUAUCCCAGGAGGGGCUGACCUGGAGGAGAGUUUUCUGUUCCCCGAAUGCGUCCAGGGAUUCGGAGCCGGAACUGACCCUCCAAGACCAGCUGCGGAAGCUGCAGCAGCGGCGGGAGGAGGAGGCGCGACGGCGGCAGCGGCGAGGGGAGGAGAGGCGGCUGCAGAAGUUACGGGCUGGCCAGCAGGCGCUCCCGGACCGUGUGCCAGCACUGCCGAGUGCUGGUGCAUCACCGGCGCGCCCUGCGCCUUCAGGUGAGCCGGAACAGUUCCGGGGGUGGUGAGCGCCGCGCUGCGGCGGCCCGAGCCCGCCCUAGUGCUGUACAAGGUGGACCUGCUGGAUCUGCCCGCUCUGGUGGGCCCCAAGCUGCUGAUGGUGCUGGGAAGCAUGGUGACCCUUAUGCCCCAGGACACUCCCGACUACCAGCAGCGACUCCAGGAGCGACUGUGGGAUGACUAUCGGCGCCGGGCUCCUGCCGCCCCGCGGCUACCGAAGGCCACAACAUCUCAGCGGGGACCGGCCAUGGGACGGGGAGGACAAUGCAAAUCUUCCGUCCGAGAUCCGCAAGGUGCUCAGAGACGUGCGGCUCAUCAGCGCCAAGAUCUCCGUGCUCCAGAGCUCCUGGCGCUGCCGCGGCGACGUCUACCUGGUUGGCGCCACCAACGCUGGCAAGUCCACUGUUUUCACUACGCUUCUGGAGUCCGAUUACUGCAUCGCCAAGGGCGCUGAGGCUAUCGACAGGGCCGCCACCUCCCCUUGGCCUGGUUAGCCUUGGGGCGCCCAUCUCCUUCGUUUUCAGAAAAGUUGGAAACCAGUCAGCUUGGUUUAUAGUUGUGGCUUCCAACUUUCUUCCUGUUUCGUUGGACAAGGUGGAUACUAUAUAUCAGAAGCACAUGGGUCAUAUGCUACUGAAGGUGAGGCAACAGGCUUUGAUGGUUGCAUAGUUAGGUUAAUAACACCCACUGUGGAUAGUCCCACAGCCCUGAUAAAAAGCCUUUGUUGGACAGAACCAUCUUUGUUACACCAUCAGCUAGCUCUCUCUGACCUUGUUCACCUUGAGGAUUUUGGCUAUAAAGUGAGAUGGGUUCUGAUAAGAAGAGGGAUGUUGGAUUGGACUGAUCCCAGGAUACUGACAGAGCUGGGUUUUCUCUAGGUGACACUGUCCAAUAUGGUAGCCUUAUGUGGCUAAAUAGCCAACAUGUGGCUAUUUCAAUAAGUUAAUUAAAAUUAAAUAAACUUUAAAAUUUAGUUCUUUACUUGCACUAGCCACUUUUCAACUGCCCAGUGGUCACAUCAUUUCAAAAAGUUGUGCUGGAUAAUGUGAGUGAGGAGACACUGGAUUUUCUCACAAUGGGGUGAUGCUACCAGCAUGUAAUGGGUGGAGGCCAGAGAUGAUGCUAAGCAUAAUGCAUGCACAGGACAGCCCCUUACAACAGGGAAUCAUCUGGUCCACAUGUGAGUGCUGAGCUUAGUAGCCCUUGUCUGGGUGGAAAAGCUCUCCUCCCAGGUUCAAUCACAGACACUUAGAGGCUAUCAUACAUCUUCUCUCCUGGUUACUUGAUCCUUCCUUUGACCUGUGAAGCAGUGUGUGAACAUUUCUCUGAUCUUUCAGAAACAAAACAAAACUCUGUCCCGCUCCUUCCUCUUCUUUGCAAUCACGCCGACUGCUGCUCCUCACCUCCCAUCCUCUGCAGUCCCUGCCGUGGCCUUUCUGUGCCGCUGAAAUCGGUCCACGUUCACCAGAGGCGGGGCCGGUUUGCGGCUCCUUAAGCAGACCUGCGCACACACCGUCGGCUGGCCUGUAGUGCAUGACGGCUCAGCUCACUGGAGCUAGGCUGGGUUCACGUCCCGCUCUGCCCCCCACUCAGUGAAGCUGUGUGACUUUGGGCAAGUCCUCUACCUCUGUCUGUUGUGACCACACCAUGAGGUUGUGGAGAAGAUCCAGUGCCCGGGCACCGUUGUCCCUGCCGUGUGUUUGUGGUGAUGAGGAGGGGGCUGGGACAGAGCUCCUGCAAAAACACCAGCUGCAUCCAAUGCAGAUAUGAUUUACAUUAAUGAAUGCUCAUACAACUAUAAAUAAGUCAAAACACACACCUGCCUUUCAACCAGGAUAAAACCAACCUGACUGCAGAAGCAAAUGCUUCUUUCUCUCUGGACUAACUAAAAAAGCCAGAGUGAAAUUAAGACUCCAUUGAAAUAACUGGCCUGAAGUUGAUGCUCCAGACACAUGUAGGAUUUGAGGGGAGGGCCCCACCUUCAUGCAUCUGUGUAGUCUUCAGGGUGGACUCACUGAUACUUCUCAAAGUGACACUCAGGUUUCUCUCCCCUCAUCAUACAGUUUCUUGGGCCGCUCUGUGCCUCCGCCUUGCCUUCUGGUUUUCAUUCAUCUCCCAGGUCAAAGUCAAUCCUGCCUCCUAAUCAUCACUGAGAUCAGGCUCACAGUCCAAACUGUAGCCUGCUUUCUGAGAUUAUGAGGUAUUUCCUAGAUUCCAGUUUUAUUGUCUUCCUCCCACCCCCACUCCACUACAGCUGUAGUUCUCAACCAGGUUGACUCUUACCGCAAGGCAAUGUUUGGCAAAGCCUGCAGACAGUUUUGGUUUUCACAAUCUGAUGGACACCGAGAAGAAGCUGCUAAAAGUCAUGCAGUGCACAGGACAGUCUCCUUUGACAAAGAAUUACUUGGCCUCAAAGGUCAGUAGUGCUGAGGUUGACAAAACCUGCACUACACAAACUUUUCCAAAAUACUAAGCUGGUCACAGUAUUAUUUUUUAUUCUUUUCUUUCCUGCAUAUAAUUCCUUGUUAGUUCCACAUUACUGAGAGAACACACACACACACACACACACACACACGUACACCUAACAUACUCUGCACAGUUAAACUACAGUUCUCUGAACUCAUCAUCCUUUUUCCAGAUUUUGUGUCCGUACAUGAUUCUAACCCACAAUACCUUUGCACUGAGUAAUCUAUUUUUCAAAAUUCUGCUCUUCAUGUUUCCCUUAACCAAAUCACAUUCAUUACUCUCUUCACAACCAUAGUACUUAAUAGAUGACUUUCAUCGCUUUUCUUAUCCUAUAAAUUAUUUACUUCUACUUCCACCUUCUGAUUCCCUGGGGGAUCAGAGACCAUAUUGUACCAUCUUUGUGUCCUUGGUGCUAAACACAGAGAGAUCUAUUAAUGCCUCCAAUACAUGGAAACACUUGUAAACACAGAGCUGAAUCUUACCCAUUUACCAGGUACCCUUCAAUUCUAAUGAGGCGGGGAGUAACUUCUGUCUAGCUAGGCCUGUAAGAACUGAGGUGUUUGGAAGGUUGUUGCCUUAAUUGCCCAGUUACUAUGUCUAAAGCUUUAUGGAGGGCUGUCAAAACAGUGUAAGCUAAUAAAACAAGAUUCUGCUGUCUGGAGGUGACCACCAGAUGGAUGCCAUGGGGCCCUCAUCACUGGGAUCCAUAGGCUUCAUCCUGUCACAGAGAUCCUGGGCUUUUCAUUUGAUCUAGAAGUGAUUGAGGGUUUUUCCCAAUAGUUUAAUGUUUAAAAUGGUUUUAUUCUUGAUAACCUGUACAAUAUUAUCUUAUUAGUGCCUUAACUUAAUAUUAGAGUUAUCAGGGGUUUCAUUUGAAUUUCCAAAUAACUUCAUCUCCUCCCAAUGGAAGGUUCCAAUGGGUGAAGAAAGAAUGGCAGGAUUUCCUCCUCUUGUUGCUUAAGACAUCACAUUAGAUGAAGGAUUUGAGGAAUCUGAAGCAGUGGCUGACAUCAAGUUCUCCUCUGCAGAUAAUUUUAUACCAAGCACUUUUCAAAAGGGGAAUAAUGUAGCCUUCCUGAUGUUUUGGGCUUACCUGGUGGCUCAGACGGUAAAGAAACUGCCUGCAGUGUGGGAGACCUGGGUCCAUCCCUGGGUCAGGAAGAUCCCCUGGAGAAGAAACUGGCAACCCACUCCAGUAUUCUUGCCUGGAGAAUCCCAUGGACAGAGGAGCGUGGUGGGUUACAGUCUAUGUGGUUCCAAAGAGUUGGACACGACUGAGCAGCUCAAACACAUACACACUGAUGUUUAGCAUAUUUUUAUAGUCAUGUAUAAAAAUAUGUAUUUUAUGCAUAAAAAUAUGGAAGUAUAUGCAUGUAUAUGUUGCCUUAACCGACAUUAACUGAAAAUUUUAAGAAAUACAUGCUAGAUUAUUUGUAAGAUGCAACCUACUCUGAAAAUGAAUCUGUACAUUUUCACAAAUGCAUUGUAUGCUUUAAAAAAAAAUGGAGUGAGACAGCAGUAGCUUCCCUUGGGUCUCUAUCUGGAGCUGUGUUUGGUGUUUUUAACAGGAUGGUUGCCUAUACCAUCUGUAUUCUGUCGUGUGCCUACAUAGGUUGGGUAGCAGUAAGGCCAAAGUUUAAGGACUGCACCUCCGAUGCUAUACACCUCAAGGGACAGUUCUGACAUUGUACAAUCUGCAGAAAAAUAAAAAAAGAUAGCUGUAUGAAGCUGACCUGUUCACAUUGAAGAUGAACUAUAUAGAAUGUACUGUGUACAUCACAUUGCAUUUUAUUAAAUAUCACUGUAAUAAAGCCCCCUCACCCUUUUCAACCUACCAAGGACCAUGCCUUUUUUUUUUUUUUUUUUUUAUUAGUUGGAGGCUAAUUACUUCACAACAUUUCAGUGGGUUUUGUCAUACAUUGAUAUGAAUCAGCCAUAGAUUUACACGUAUUCCCCA